UGUUCAGCCAAAACGCACGCUCAGGACAAAAUGCGACAAAAAAAACUCCUUCACGGCGCCAUAAAAAACUCAUUAUGCGACACUUCAAUCUUGCGCCCACAACCAAGAAUUUCAGCAAACAAUUACGAAUUUGAAUUCACCCUCGACAAAGAAACAAGAAUGCAAUUGAAUCCACGUGGAAAUUCGACAUCAAAAUGCAAUUGUCAAAAUUAAAUUCGAAUCAAAGUUGUGCGUGAAAUAGCAACGAUUGUAGAUUGAAAACGUACCAGAUUCGUGCUUUGCGUGGAGGCGGAGAUGAAGACUCUUAAGUUCGAAUAUGUGUGUUGCAUCGUUUUGAUGAAGAGUGAAGACGAAGCUUGGUUCGGCUCCAUGCGUUGUGUUGCAAUGAAGAGUGAAAGUGGAGAUGCGCAACGAAUCGUGGUAUUGUGAUGAUGAAGAGUUCGUGAUGAUGAAUGAAAAAGUGAAGGUACCAAACUCUUUUUGAAACUUUGUUUGCUCUUCUCCGCCUAUAAUUUUCGUUUUUAUGAUCGUGUUACUCGGUUGUUAUGAGGGUUGAAAAAGUUGUUAGUUGGUUCAGGAAAUUGGAGGUGGUUGGAGAGUUCUUGAAGUGUUUGUUAAGGGUUCUGAAGGUGAAAGUUAGAAGUUGGAGGUAUCAAGGUUCAGGUGAAUUUAGCUAUGUUGGAAUGAAGGGAAGGUUAGAGAGGAGGUUGGAUUUCUGUUAUCGUUUUGUGAAGUCAAGUUGGGGAUAUUUGUGCCAUUCGGUUCAGGAGGUUGGGAUUUUGGAAUUCAAUUUUGAGUUGUUGGAGGGAAGUUGAGAAUUGGUUAGGGAAGGUUUUUUUGGGUAGCAAGGUGAUUGUGUUAUCAAUUGGAGGUUGAAGGUGUUCUUGGGAGAAGUCUUGUUGAAGGUUCAGUUAGUUUUUGACCGGUUAGUUCAAGAGGGUUUGCCCGUUAUAUUAAUGGUUAUGUUUUCCCAUUUUAUGCAGGUUUUUUUGGUGGUUUGUGCAGGUUAGAAGAGAUUUUCAUGUCUGUAUUCGUUUCUGUUUUUGAUUCCCGUUUUCAAGUCUGAUGUGGUGGGCUCUAGAGGUUAGGAUUCAGUUCGAAUGUGGAGGCUUUGGAGGUUAGGCUUUUUAUUCUGAUGUGUUAUCUUAGGAGUUGUUACCAGUUAGAGAGUUUUUUAGCAGGGUUAUGUUAUGACAAGUAAAUCAGUUAGGUUUGCUUUUGUUUCAGUUAGGAUGAGUUGAGAGGUAGUUAAAAAAAUGGUUUGGAGCAAGAGAAGUUAGCAGUUGUCAAAGUAAGUUGGCGAAAAAUGAAGAUAGUAGUUAGUUGCUAAUGUGACUUCGGUUUACUUCUUAUCCUCUUAUACUUGCCCUCUAUUUAACUCAUCAGAUUUGGACAGGUUGGACAACUACACAUUCGACUAUUGGAGCGAUCAAUGCCACAAGAGUCCAAGACUUUCAGUUAUUUUUUUAUUCAAAUUAUGCAUUGUGAUGUUACGUACAAGAAUUAGGGAUUUUGUGUGGUUAUAAUGUAUGAAAGUAUUGGAAGAUGAAUUAGAAUGUAUUUAUGUAUGUAAUUGGAAUUGAAUGGUUAUAUGAUGGUUGUUAUAUGAAAUUGGAAUUUUGGAACUUGGAAUUGUAAUAGUGUGAAUUGGAAUGGAAAUUAGCAAAACUUGAAUUGAAUGUAUGGUUAUGUAUUGAAUAAUGGUUUAAUGGAAAUUAAUGGUUUAUGCUUUUGGAAUUGUA
This 1742-nucleotide long non-coding RNA is filed under the name Lathyrus oleraceus (garden pea). RNAcentral's name for it is "Pisum sativum (pea) long non-coding RNA (PSAT_LNC009860)". The record is from RNAcentral. Lineage: Eukaryota; Viridiplantae; Streptophyta; Magnoliopsida; Fabales; Fabaceae.